GCGGAUGUAGCUCAAUGGUAGAGUCCCAGUUUUCCAAACUGGUUGUUGCGGGUUCGAGUCCCGUCGUCCGCU
Molecule: transfer RNA, 72 nt
Filed under: compost metagenome
Description: tRNA-Gly
Rfam family: tRNA
About the family: Transfer RNA (tRNA) molecules are approximately 80 nucleotides in length. Their secondary structure includes four short double-helical elements and three loops (D, anti-codon, and T loops). Further hydrogen bonds mediate the characteristic L-shaped molecular structure. tRNAs have two regions of fundamental functional importance: the anti-codon, which is responsible for specific mRNA codon recognition, and the 3' end, to which the tRNAs corresponding amino acid is attached (by aminoacyl-tRNA synthetases). tRNAs cope with the degeneracy of the genetic code in two manners: having more than one tRNA (with a specific anti-codon) for a particular amino acid; and 'wobble' base-pairing, i.e. permitting non-standard base-pairing at the 3rd anti-codon position.
Source: RNAcentral